AUCAGUAUCCAUAUCUCAGAAAAUUCAAGGGUGAUAGAAAUUGAAUAAAAAAAGAAAAAGAAAAAUUGAAGUAUCGCUUUGCAAACUGAUCUGAUCAUUUCCAUGGCCGGGUCUUGCAAUUUCGAAUUGGAUCGAGCUAAUUUGAGAUAAGAAAUUCAUUUAUCGUGCCCGGAAUUAAAUUCCAAUAAUCCAUCCCUCUUCUUCCUUCUUCUUUGUUUGUUCAUCAGUUGUUCCCUGUCGCAAUUAUAGAGAAG
RNAcentral lists this unclassified non-coding RNA (254 nucleotides) under Hevea brasiliensis (rubber tree). Lineage: Eukaryota; Viridiplantae; Streptophyta; Magnoliopsida; Malpighiales; Euphorbiaceae. The record is from RNAcentral.